This 450-nucleotide ribosomal RNA is filed under the name uncultured bacterium. Its description in RNAcentral is "partial 16S ribosomal RNA". It matches the Rfam family "Bacterial small subunit ribosomal RNA", at positions 354 to 796 of the family's 1533-position model. The record is from RNAcentral.
GUGGGGAAUUUUGGACAAUGGGGGCAACCCUGAUCCAGCAAUGCCGCGUGCAGGAAGAAGGCCUUCGGGUUGUAAACUGCUUUUGUACGGAACGAAAAGGCUCUGGUUAAUACCUGGGGCACAUGACGGUACCGUAAGAAUAAGCACCGGCUAACUACGUGCCAGCAGCCGCGGUAAUACGUAGGGUGCAAGCGUUAAUCGGAAUUACUGGGCGUAAAGCGUGCGCAGGCGGUGCUGUAAGACAGGCGUGAAAUCCCCGGGCUCAACCUGGGAAUUGCGCUUGUGACUGCAAGGCUGGAGUGCGGCAGAGGGGGAUGGAAUUCCGCGUGUAGCAGUGAAAUGCGUAGAUAUGCGGAGGAACACCGAUGGCGAAGGCAAUCCCCUGGGCCUGCACUGACGCUCAUGCACGAAAGCGUGGGGAGCAAACAGGAUUAGAUACCCCUGUAGUCC